GGGGUGGGGUGACUGCGUACCUUUUGUAUAAUGGGUCAGCGACUUAUAUUCUGUAGCAAGGUUAACCGUAUAGGGGAGCCGAAGGGAAACCGAGUCUUAACUGGGCGUUAAGUUGCAGGGUAUAGACCCGAAACCCGGUGAUCUAGCCAUGGGCAGGUUGAAGGUUGGGUAACACUAACUGGAGGACCGAACCGACUAAUGUUGAAAAAUUAGCGGAUGACUUGUGGCUGGGGGUGAAAGGCCAAUCAAACCGGGAGAUAGCUGGUUCUCCCCGAAAGCUAUUUAGGUAGCGCCUCGUGAACUCAUCUUCGGGGGUAGAGCACUGUUUCGGCUAGGGGGUCAUCCCGACUUACCAACCCGAUGCAAACUGCGAAUACCGAAGAAUGUUAUCACGGGAGACACACGGCGGGUGCUAACGUCCGUCGUGAAGAGGGAAACAACCCAGACCGCCAGCUAAGGUCCCAAAGUCACAGUUAAGUGGGAAACGAUGUGGGAAGGCUCAGACAGCCAGGAUGUUGGCUUAGAAGCAGCCAUCAUUUAAAGAAAGCGUAAUAGCUCACUGGUCGAGUCGGCCUGCGCGGAAGAUGUAACGGGGCUAAACUGUGCACCGAAGCUGCGGCAGCGACGCUUAUGCGUUGUUGGGUAGGGGAGCGUUCUGUAAGCCUGCGAAGGUGUCCUGUGAGGGAUGCUGGAGGUAUCAGAAGUGCGAAUGCUGACAUAAGUAACGAUAAUGCGGGUGAAAAGCCCGCUCGCCGGAAGACCAAGGGUUCCUGUCCAACGUUAAUCGGGGCAGGGUGAGUCGACCCCUAAGGCGAGGCCGAAAGGCGUAGUCGAUGGGAAACGGGUUAAUAUUCCCGUACUUGGUGUUACUGCGAAGGGGGGACGGAGAAGGCUAUGUUGGCCGGGCGACGGUUGUCCCGGUUUAAGCGUGUAGGCUGGUUUUCCAGGCAAAUCCGGAAAAUCAAG
This 966-nucleotide ribosomal RNA is filed under the name Salmonella enterica subsp. enterica serovar Kentucky. RNAcentral's name for it is "partial 23S ribosomal RNA". It matches the Rfam family "Bacterial large subunit ribosomal RNA", at positions 585 to 1554 of the family's 2925-position model. The record is from RNAcentral. Lineage: Bacteria; Pseudomonadati; Pseudomonadota; Gammaproteobacteria; Enterobacterales; Enterobacteriaceae.